ACAAAUUGGUAUCUCUUCAGACCAUAUAAAUCUUUUGCUAAAGAUUUCCAUGGAGAGGAACAUUUAUGAGUUUGUAACCAAUUUUUUGAGGCUCUGUUUUCUGAAGAAAU
Varanus komodoensis (Komodo dragon) is the source of this 110-nucleotide small nuclear RNA. Its record names the gene U5. It matches the Rfam family "U5 spliceosomal RNA". From Rfam's summary of the family: U5 RNA is a component of both types of known spliceosome. NCBI's taxonomy places the organism in Eukaryota, Metazoa, Chordata, Lepidosauria, Squamata, Varanidae. The record is from Ensembl.